Long non-coding RNA from Gasterosteus aculeatus aculeatus (three-spined stickleback), 641 nucleotides. NCBI's taxonomy places the organism in Eukaryota, Metazoa, Chordata, Actinopteri, Perciformes, Gasterosteidae. The record is from Ensembl.
CUCUCGCUCCGUCAACAUGACGACCUCUUUUCCCAUGAAUUAUUUCUCAUUGCGGUUCACUCCCACGGCCACGGAGCGUCUGACCCGCGCACGAGCGUGUGCUGUCGGGAGCGCGCAGCAAUCAUACCUCAUCCGUCGCGCGUCUCGGUGGUGUCGGAUAAAUAGGAGACGGUCGGUCUUUUGACUAAAAAAAACAACAACAACGACAACAACAACCCCACUCGGGCAUCGUGCUUCGUUGUGAGAAGAAGACAACCAUUUUUUUUUCUUCCGAAAGUCCUGCACGUUUUUCUCCCCUCGCCUGUGAGCGGAUGCCGGAGGAGUACAGCUGCGAGGCUUCCGGGCUCGUCCCUCAUCUCGCGGGUCAUUCCUCCAAGUUGACGCUGCUGACGCGGUUCGGUUCGGGGAUGUAAACGACCCUCCGAGGGACCCGAGCUGAGUGCACCGAUUCCACGGAAGCAUGAGCCCCGCGGGAGCCCGGAGCGUCUCGUGAAAGCUCUGGGGAUGAGUCGCUGGUCGGGCAAUAUACUCCGUGCGUCCCACCUGUCAACGGGGAGUUUAUGAAAGAGGUCCACUCCAGCUCCCACCGAUUCUACUGAGAGACGAGGGCUCGUAAGGGAACUGCCCCGGCUCUUUCAUCC